RNAcentral lists this long non-coding RNA (4382 nucleotides) under Canis lupus familiaris (dog). RNAcentral describes it as "lncRNA (ENSCAFG00040000160.1)". Lineage: Eukaryota; Metazoa; Chordata; Mammalia; Carnivora; Canidae. The record is from RNAcentral.
AGAAUGAUUCGAAAUGGAGGCAGAGGGAGCCAAGCCUGUAUUCACUCAGCCUUGCAAAGAGGAAACUUCAUUUGAAACAUACAUAACUUCCUCUGUGCCAGCUACUCAUUCCUUUUGUUUUCAACCAGCUAGCAGAUCAAAAGAAUUAAGGAGAUUAAAAAGCAGAGUGACUCAGUGACUUCAUACAUCAAAACAGGAAAGUGUUGAAUGAAACCAUUUCUAGGCAAAGUGACUACACAGAGAAGGACCAUAAAAGGCAGCUCAAGGGGAGGAAACACCUCAAGCUUGUUCCCCCUCCCCCCACCUUCUCACAUAAAAUGCAAAACCAGAUACAUGUCAGAAGAAAAACCCAGAAUAGAUGCAAAUCAAAUCCACUUAAGUUCAGAGGUCUGCAGAAUCUCGCUGGGGCAGAGGGUGUUGAGAAGGUGCAUUGCUGGCAGAUUUCCUGUCCCUUUAAAGUCUUGUGGUCUGCGCAGUCGCCUUGAUGCCUGGCUCGCCUGCCUGGAGGAGGAAAGGUCCCUAAGUGUGCUGCUGCCUUCCUGCCCCAGAAUCCUUCAUCUGGCCUGGAGUCAGGAUUUGCCAGGUGGGAGUUGCUGACUGGUAAGCUCAUCGGGAGAGUGUGGAUUGUAGGGCAGCACAGAUGUCAGGACGGGUAGCAUUCACUCAGAAUCGUGUCUGAAAGUAAUGGGCUUGGGCUUGGGCUUGGGGGUGGGGGUGAGGGUGGGGGAAGCAGCAGGGAGUGGGGUGAGUCCAUUCCUAGAAGGAUCUGGCUGUCUCCUCUUUGUGGUGAUUGAGGAAUCACUGCUAUGACAAAUGUGGCACAGCUUGGGGACCAAGAUGGGGCCAUGGCUCUGCCUCCUUUCAGCUGGUUCCCUGUGCCGUCCCUGUAAGCAACAGCCACUGAAGAGAAAACCCAUUAGCAGGCUUCCCUUGGAGCGCUGGGGGCAGCAGCAGCCCCAUUAUCCAAAUUUCUCAUUCGCCCCAUGCCAGUGCUCAGUGAGGCAGCCAAAUGGAGCUGCCCACUUCGCUGUACCCACUCAUUUGACUUAUUAGUAAGAUGGUAAUUAUGCUGAGAGGAAUGAAGGGCAAUGAGGGGGAGGUGACAGAAGCAAUUUGUUGGUGAUGGGAUGACAGCCCAGGAACCUCCAAAUCUGUGCCUAGGAGAGAGGGAUGAGAGGAGAAGGAAGAUAGAUGGCAAUGCGCAAUCACAAGUGAACAUCUCGUGUACCUUUUUAGAAACUUGCUUAUAGAGAAUGACCUCUAUAAUCAGCCCACCUACCCACAUGUCCUUAUGAAACAGCUACCCACAUCCCCUAAAUGGGCUCCUUUUAGUAAGAAAAGUGUAUUGCUUAUGGGUGUUUUUUGUAGACAGUUAUAGCUCCCUACUCCUUUUAACUAGCUUAGUGAUGUCUCUUUCUAGAGAGUUAAAGUUCAGUUUGUACUAAAUUUAGACAAGCUAAUAUGAAGUCUUGCCCAGCAGCUGGGCCAGGUAUGCAAAAUGAGGAGCUUCCUUUAUGCAUUCACCAAGUAUCUGUUGAAGACCAACUAUGUACUGAAUACUGUUCCAGAUGCUGGGGAUGCAGCAAUGAAUCAAAUAGAUGCAUCUCAUUGUUUACAUUCCUACACAGCUUAUGUGUGUGUGUUGCUUAGGGGGGAGGGGUGCAGAACAUACAUCAACAAAUAAAUAAAUAAUUUUAGAUACCACAAAAUGUGAUGGUGACUUGGGAUAGGUUUUUUUUUUUUUUAAAGAUCUCUUUAUUUAUUCACGAGAGACACACACAGAGAGGCAGAGAUGUAGACAGAAGGAGAAGCAGGCUCCAUGCAGGGAGCCUGAUGUGGGACUCGAUCCCAGGCCUCCAGGAUCAUGACCUGAGCCAAAGGCAGAUGCUCAACCACUGAGCCACCCAGGUGCCCCAGGAUGGGGGGCAUUUUAGAUUGUGUGAUGAGGGAGUGGCUCUGUGGGUAAGGUAGUAUUUUUGCUAAGAACAAAAAUUUAUUAGGCAGAGAUCUGGAGGGUGAGGGUGGGGAUAGUACACCUGAAGGAAGGCAAAGGGACAUAAAAGACCCUAAGGUGGAAAUGAAGUGGGCAUUCUGAGCAACAGCAACAAGACAAGAGGGGCUAGAAGGAGUGCCAGCAGAAGAGGCGGUCAAGAAUGAUGUAGGAGGGGCAGGCGGGGAUGCAAUCACUGGCCAUGAUGAGCUGUUUAAACUUUAUUCCAAGAAAAUGAGGAAUUACUGAAGAACUUUUAUCAAAAGGUUGACAUGAUGAAGUUCAUAUUUUUGAAACAUCUCUCUCAUGCUGAAUGGAGAAUCAGUUAGAGAGGCAAGAAAGAAAAUAGGAAAACCUGGGGGCCAUCCUGCCAAACAACAGACAUAAAAAGGCUGGCACUUAGGGGUGUCUGUGUGGCUCAGUUGGUUAAGCAUCUGACUCUUGGUUUCAGCUCAGGUGGUGAUCUUAGAGUCACAAGAUCGAGCCCCGUGUUGGGCUCUGUGCUUAGUGUGGAGUCUGGUUAAGUUUGUCUCUCCUUAUCUCCUACUCUCUCUGUCUCUCAAAUAAAUAAAUCUUUUAAAAAAUUGCUAACAUUCAAAGGAAACAAAUGGAUUUUUGGCCACCAAGAAAAGAGAUACUGGCAUUGCCAGCUACUGUAUGCACCUAUGUCACAUUGGCCAUUGGCCAGACAUUCUGACAAUGCUAUUUCACUUGUUGCCUGUUAACACUACUGGGAACUCACAUUUUGCAGAUGGAAACUCAGAGAUUUAAAGUGACUUGCCCAUUGUCCCACCUGAUUGUAGGUGGUAGAAACAGAAUUUGAACUUGGGAGUCAUAUCUGAAUUCCAAGUUGUCCCCACUACACCACACUUCCUCUUACUCGGGAGACACUCGUUGCCCAGCAUCAGAAUGGAUCUGAAGUACAGGACUCCAGUGUUAGUUACUGAUCUGUCCCUCAAACUUACAAUAGUGCCUGGCAAAUAGUAUGCGUUCAGAAAAAUGAUGAAAUGAAUGGUGAUAAAGCACUAACGACCUUGCUGAGUAUUAAUUCAGACUGCCCUGACUCUUAUGCCCGCAGUAAAGGUUGGUCUUGCAAGCCAGAUUGUGUCUGAUGGGGAGAUUAAGUAGUAGCAGGUACCCAGGAGGAGGGAUACAGAGAUGGGGAAGUAGGGAGGGUCAGUAUGAUUAGAGAAAGUUAGUAUUAUUAGGGAGAUGACUUGCCUAGGGUCGCAUCAGAGAGUAAAUCAAAACUCUGCUUACUCUCUAGCCUAUGAGGCUAUGAGUCCUGGGAAGGAAUCAAAGGACCUAAGUAUGAAUCCCAGAGGUGAUUAUCAGUAGGCCUCAGUGUCCUCACUGAAAAAGGGAAAUGAGAUCAUCCAUCCCUUGGUCGUGUAGUAAGGAAUACAUGAAAUAAUGAAUGGUGAAAUGCCUAAAAUCAAGCACUGGCCAAAUAUAAGUUCUUUUUUUUUUUUUUCCAAAUAUAAGUUCUGAUGAAUAUCAGCUCUCUGUUUUAUCAGUAUAUUCUCUGAUCAUAUCCUAUUAAAUUUGAAUAUUAGUAUGUUACUCAUGCAGAAGUAUUGGAUUCCUUAAUCUGCUAAAAAUAUAUGUGUCACUAAGAAAUAGAUCUUGGGCAGUUUCUUUGAAAAAUAUGCUAUUCAUCAAUCCACAGAAACUCAUGCAUGCACUUAUUAAUUCAACCAAUAUUUUUUAGACUCUAAAAAUACAUGAUAAUUUAUAUUUUAGCCAACUUCUGGGGACUCAGAGAAUAACACUGAGGGUUCCAAGAGGCAUAUAUCCACAGGGCUCUUCUAUGUCUUGAAGUAUAAUAUGAAAGAGAAAAAAUAUAUUUGAGUGGCAAGGGAGGAUAGUCAAAAGUAGUCCAGGAAUAUGGAAACUUCUCAUCUGCUGGUGGUUAAUUUCCUAGCUCGCAGUGAUCACUGUCCAAAGUCUAAAGGCCAGUACCUUAUUUUUUUAUGAUUCCCAGAUAGUUCUCAAGGUGUCAGAGAUAAUGGUCAGGUGGCCCUGCUGCAGAUGAAUGCUGGUACCUGGUUCAAAGUGACCUCGUUGCUCUUUUAAGUAUGUGACUAUCUCCUUGAUUUGACUAUAAAUUCUGUAGUAAAGGGACCAGAUCUCCCUCAUAUGUUUAUUCCUAACUAUGGUUAUUACAGUUAAAGCUCUGCUGAUGUGGCCUAAAUGUCAACGAGGGAUGCCUUCUUAUACCUAAGGAUCUAGGAGGCUGACUUGAGACCUUUGUUUAUGGAUUCUGUGGAAUGGAUUCAAAUCCAUUCCAUGAUUUUUUUUAAUUUCUGAAAAGCUUAUAUUAGAUCCUACUUGCUCUCUUACCUGUGACCUCUUCGAUACAUGAUAUUGGUUUAGAAAAGAAAAGUCGGGC